This 497-nucleotide ribosomal RNA is filed under the name uncultured bacterium. RNAcentral describes it as "partial 16S ribosomal RNA". It matches the Rfam family "Bacterial small subunit ribosomal RNA", at positions 28 to 507 of the family's 1533-position model. The record is from RNAcentral.
GACGAACGCUGGCGGCGUGCCUAAUACAUGCAAGUUGAGCGCUGAAGGUUGGUACUUGUACCGACUGGAUGAGCAGCGAACGGGUGAGUAACGCGUGGGGAAUCUGCCUUUGAGCGGGGGACAACAUUUGGAAACGAAUGCUAAUACCGCAUAAAAACUUUAAACACAAGUUUUAAGUUUGAAAGAUGCAAUUGCAUCACUCAAAGAUGAUCCCGCGUUGUAUUAGCUAGUUGGUGAGGUAAAGGCUCACCAAGGCGAUGAUACAUAGCCGACCUGAGAGGGUGAUCGGCAACAUUGGGACGGAGACACGGCCCAAACCCCUACGGGAGGCAGCAGGAGGGAAUCUUCGGGAAUGGACGAAAGGCUGACCGAGCAACGCCGCGUGAGUGAAGAAGGUUGUCGGAUCGUAAAACUCUGUUGGUAGAGAAGAACGUUGGUGAGAGUGGAAAGCUCAUCAAGUGACGGUAACUACCCAGAAAGGGACGGCUAACUACGUG